UUUGGUGAGUGGCGGACGGGUGAGUAACACGUGGGUAACCUGCCCAAAAGUGGGGGAUAACAUUUGGAAACAAGUGCUAAUACCGCAUAACAACUGCUUUCACAUGAUCGCAGCUUGAAAGAUGGCUCUGCUAUCGCUUUUGGAUGGACCCGCGGCGUAUUAGCUAGUUGGUGAGGUAAUAGCUCACCAAGGCAAUGAUACGUAGCCGACCUGAGAGGGUAAUCGGCCACAUUGGGACUGAGACACGGCCCAAACUCCUACGGGAGGCAGCAGUAGGGAAUCUUCCACAAUGGGCGAAAGCCUGAUGGAGCAAUGCCGCGUGAGUGAAGAAGGUUUUCGGAUCGUAAAACUCUGUUGUUGAAGAAGAACAUGCGUGAGAGUAACUGUUCACGUACUGACGGUAUUCAACCAGAAAGCCACGGCUAACUACGUGCCAGCAGCCGCGGUA
RNAcentral lists this ribosomal RNA (448 nucleotides) under Lactobacillus sp. RNAcentral describes it as "bacterial SSU rRNA". It matches the Rfam family "Bacterial small subunit ribosomal RNA", at positions 87 to 522 of the family's 1533-position model. Lineage: Bacteria; Bacillati; Bacillota; Bacilli; Lactobacillales; Lactobacillaceae. The record is from RNAcentral.